GAUGAACGCUGGCGGCGUGCUUAACACAUGCAAGUCGAACGAAGCGCUUUGAUUGAUUUCUUCGGAUUGAUUUCGAAGUGACUUAGUGGCGGACGGGUGAGUAACGCGUGGGUAACCUGCCUCGUACAGGGGGAUAACAGUUAGAAAUGACUGCUAAUACCGCAUAACCCGCUAGGAUCGCAUGAUCCGGACGGAAAAGAUUUAUCGGUACGAGAUGGACCCGCGUCUGAUUAGCUAGUUGGUGAGGUAACGGCCCACCAAGGCGACGAUCAGUAGCCGGCCUGAGAGGGUGAACGGCCACAUUGGGACUGAGACACGGCCCAAACUCCUACGGGAGCAGCAGUGGGGAAUAUUGCACAAUGGGGGAAACCCUGAUGCAGCGACGCCGCGUGAGUGAAGAAGUAUUUCGGUAUGUAAAGCUCUAUCAGCAGGAGAAAUGACGGUACCUGACUAAGAAGCCCCGGCUAACUACGUGCCAGCAGCC
Molecule: ribosomal RNA, 484 nt
Filed under: uncultured bacterium
Lineage: Bacteria
Description: bacterial SSU rRNA
Rfam family: Bacterial small subunit ribosomal RNA
Source: RNAcentral